Molecule: long non-coding RNA, 1784 nt
Filed under: Linum usitatissimum (flax)
Lineage: Eukaryota; Viridiplantae; Streptophyta; Magnoliopsida; Malpighiales; Linaceae
Description: long non-coding RNA (LUSI_LNC003480)
Source: RNAcentral
AUUUAUUAUACAUUUAAUAAGUCUGAAUAGAUUGGCCCAAAAAAAAAAGCCCUAGCCAAAAUGUUACUUACCCUUGUCAGAGGGAAAUCAUUUCAUUGGAGGAAAGAUGCAGUAGCCUUAUUCCCUCUAUAAAACUAACAAUUUUCCGGACCACCCAUAUCAGUUUUUUGGAGGUCGAAUUUUACACAAGAAAUCCGAACAUCAUCCCCCGAAUUCUCAAAUAGCAGUAGCAAUACACAGUCAUAAACUAGUGUUUCCCAAAAAAAUGAAAUACCAAAUACUACUAAAUAACCUAUACAUCCAAAAUUUCCACUCCUAAACUGCUGGAACUAGCUUCUAACCCUCACAAAAAUCCAAGAUAUACCCACAAAACCCGGAAGAAGGCCUUGACUCUAUCGUCGUCCAUCUAGGAGUUUCCAAGGGGAAGGAACACGUGAAUCCAAGAAGCAAAAUCCACCACAACCUGAAAGCAGAAGGAGAUCCCAUAUGAAGUGGUAAGGUAUUCCAAAACCUGCAUCGAUUCGGCCGUUCAUGACACUAUUUCGUGUUUAUGUGCUUUUUUUGUUCUUACUAUCCUUUGUUAAUGCUACUUACCAAUAUACUUCAUAGCAUGCUAUUAAACAACCUACUUAAACAAUGAAAGAAUCAAAGAAUAAAAUGAGUAAAUUACACCAACUGAAAUACCCACAUCCCAAAUAAGCUGAAGCCUCUUCAAAUUGACCAACUGUUGCCUACCUUAACACCAUUAGCAUCAAAGACCCAAGUACCAUACAAAUACUAGAAAUUUGGAAUCAAUUUCACAAAAAAAUUACGAGUCAUCCUAACAACUUUAUGGCUGGAAUUUCACAAAAAAAAUCAGUUAAAUCAAAUAUUUUGUGGUGUCAAAAUGGUUGGUUUUGCAUCAAUUUUGAGUGGGUCAAGUUUUUACUGAUUGAUGUGCAUAUUUAUUUGUGCCUAAGAAAAGGGAUGAUAAGUCCCUAUUUUAAUCGAGUCAGUUGGCUAGCAAAUAUUGAAAUAAAAAUCUCAUACUUUGCUUUUUUGCCUUUCCGAAUCGGAUCAAGUCAUUCCCCCAUUCCGACUCCCUCGAGCAAGUCAAUCCGCAAACUUCAUCCUAUACCUAAAGUAACAUCAAAAGCAAAAUCAGAUUCCACCCUCGCAAACAGAGUGUUUAUUAAAGAUAAUAAAAAUAGGUCUUUUACCUGUUCGGCCGCUCCCGUGGACGUCCGGUUCACCGGCGACGAAUCCAGGACCGAUGGUCUUGUUUUCGUCGGUGGAUCCAUUCAUCUACCCUGCCGAUACCCAAUUAAACCGCAAUGAGUUAGAUUAAUCAUAAGAAGAAACUAUAAAUGAAAGAUAAAACCAUAGAUUUGUAGAUCGGGGCUUGCAUAUCGCCAGAUGCAUCUUUCGGGGACAUACAAGGCCAGAUUUUGCUAAAAUCGAAAAUAAGAGAGGAGUAGGGGUGGAGUAGGGGUGGAGACGAUGUUUACCUCUGUUUUUGCUGUUGCGGCUGACUCUACGAGGCAUGGAAGACGAGGCGGAGAUGACGAGAAAGAGAGGGACGUGGCUGGAUAUUUACUUCAGUCAUCUUCUCGCCAUCGUCGCCGCCUCUACUGAUGAAUGGAGGAGGAAAUCACGAGUGAUGGUUUUGUUCUUCUCUUCUGAAAGAUGAUGACGAGAGAGAGCAGUUCAGAGGCGGGAGGAGAGACGUGAUUUCGAUCUCUGUUUAAGUAUUUACACCUAGGAUAUUAAGGCUCUAGGCCAUAAUCUAUUAUUAGUUGAUGGAC